UAGCAUAAUCNUUAGUUUUUUAAUUGAAGNCUAGAAWGAAAGGUUUAAUAAAAAAUAAACUUUAUUAGUUUUAAUUUAUUGAAAUUAUUAUUUUAAUAAAAAAAUUAAAAUUUUUUUAAAAGACGAUAAGACCCUAUAAAGCUUUAUAAAAUACUUAAAUAAAAAUUUUUAGAAUAUUUUUUUUUUUAAUUAAUUUUAUUUAAUUGGGGUGAUUUUAAGAUUAAUUAAACUCUUAAUUUUUUUUUUCAUUUUUAAAUGAAUUUUGAUCUAAAAUUUUUUGAUUAAAAAUAAAAGUUACUUUAGGGAUAACAGCGUAAUUUUUUUAAAGAGUUCAAAUCGAUAAAAAAGAUUGCGACCUCGAUGUUGAAUUAAGAUAAAAUUUAGGUGCAAAAGUUUAAAUUUU
This 403-nucleotide ribosomal RNA is filed under the name Tanytarsini sp. To94. RNAcentral's name for it is "partial 16S ribosomal RNA". Lineage: Eukaryota; Metazoa; Arthropoda; Insecta; Diptera; Chironomidae. The record is from RNAcentral.